RNAcentral lists this ribosomal RNA (622 nucleotides) under uncultured bacterium. RNAcentral's name for it is "bacterial SSU rRNA". It matches the Rfam family "Bacterial small subunit ribosomal RNA", at positions 8 to 628 of the family's 1533-position model. The record is from RNAcentral.
AGAGUUUGAUCCUGGCUCAGGAUGAACGCUGGCGGCGUGCUUAACACAUGCAAGUCGAACGAAGCAGCAGAGACAGAAGCCUUCGGGUGGAAGACUUUGUUGACUGAGUGGCGGACGGGUGAGUAACGCGUGGGUAACCUGCCUUACACAGGGGGAUAACAGUUAGAAAUGACUGCUAAUACCGCAUAAGACCACGGCACCACAUGGUGCAGGGGUAAAAACUGAGGUGGUGUAAGAUGGGCCCGCGUCUGAUUAGCUAGUUGGUGGGGUAAGAGCUCACCAAGGCGACGAUCAGUAGCCGACCUGAGAGGGUGACCGGCCACAUUGGGACUGAGACACGGCCCAAACUCCUACGGGAGGCAGCAGUGGGGAAUAUUGCACAAUGGGGGAAACCCUGAUGCAGCGACGCCGCGUGAGUGAGGAAGUAUUUCGGUAUGUAAAGCUCUAUCAGCAGGGAAGGAAAUGACGGUACCUGACUAAGAAGCCCCGGCUAACUACGUGCCAGCAGCCGCGGUAAUACGUAGGGGGCAAGCGUUAUCCGGAUUUACUGGGUGUAAAGGGAGCGUAGACGGUAGUGCAAGUCUGAUGUGAAAGCCCGGGGCUCAACCCCGGGACUGCAUUG